This 492-nucleotide ribosomal RNA is filed under the name uncultured bacterium. Its description in RNAcentral is "partial 16S ribosomal RNA". It matches the Rfam family "Bacterial small subunit ribosomal RNA", at positions 29 to 507 of the family's 1533-position model. The record is from RNAcentral.
AGUGAACGCUGGCGGUAGGCCUAACACAUGCAAGUCGAGCGGCAGCACAGUAAGAGCUUGCUCUUACGGGUGGCGAGUGGCGGACGGGUGAGGAAUACAUCGGAAUCUACUUUUUCGUGGGGGAUAACGUAGGGAAACUUACGCUAAUACCGCAUACGACCUACGGGUGAAAGCAGGGGAUCUUCGGACCUUGCGCGAUUGAAUGAGCCGAUGUCGGAUUAGCUAGUUGGCGGGGUAAAGGCCCACCAAGGCGACGAUCCGUAGCUGGUCUGAGAGGAUGAUCAGCCACACUGGAACUGAGACACGGUCCAGACUCCUACGGGAGGCAGCAGUGGGGAAUAUUGGACAAUGGGCGCAAUCCUGAUCCAGCCAUACCGCGUGGGUGAAGAAGGCCUUCGGGUUGUAAAGCCCUUUUGUUGGGAAAGAAAAGCAGCAGGUUAAUACCCCGCUGUUCUGACGGUACCCAAAGAAUAAGCACCGGCUAACUUCGUG